Molecule: long non-coding RNA, 239 nt
Filed under: Carica papaya (papaya)
Lineage: Eukaryota; Viridiplantae; Streptophyta; Magnoliopsida; Brassicales; Caricaceae
Description: long non-coding RNA (CPAP_LNC010964)
Source: RNAcentral
AAUGGGUUGGACCCCACAGGGUUUCGAACAUGAGGCAUUAUUGCAUAAGAGUUUGUUACAUGAUUAAGAUGCAUGAAAUCUUAUCUAGAGGGAUAUUUUUUUUGGUUGAUCUAUUGGUUUGUCAUGUCUUAAAUGUAGCCAUGGAAAUACUAAGCAUAUUAUUUGAAACAAAAAGGUUAGAUGUUUGCAUGUUGCUUUGGCCCUUCACCUUACUUAGGUAAUAGUGAAGAGGAUUAUUC